UAUAUGUAUAGCUGAAUUUUUGUUGCAAACAAUAAUGCUUGAAUAGUAAUAUAUCUGUUUAAAGAGUUAAUAUAUCUUGGCUACAGCAUCAGAAAUAUAUCUCUAUUCAAACAAUACUGUUUUGUAAUAAAAUCAACAAAUUUUCAAAAGCAAAUCAUUUAUGUGUGAAAAUAUGUUCCUUGACUGUCAGGAGUAGCAGAACUGCUGAGACAGUUACUGGAACUGUCAAAACUGCAGGGUAACAUGAAUGAUAACAAAUACCUUCCAGGGUUUAAAAAAAAAAAAACAGAAAAACUGUCGUUUUAAUGAAUCCCAAAUUUAUAAUACUGUGAUAUAGAUUCUAUAGCAACAUCGACAGGAAAUAACGUCAACGGGAUGGCUAUAGAAAUGAGUCAACAGGUUGUCCAAGGAACUGAUUUUAAAAGCGUUGAUAGUUUGGCUGAAGAAUUAAGUUGACAGUUAUAUAAACCCAAAACCAAAUGAAGUAUUAAAAGGACAAAAAAAAAGGAAAGAAAAAAACAAGUCCACAUUUUAAAAUUCAUCUUUUUUAACAACAACAACAAUAAUAUAGAAACAUACACAACUAGUGCUUUUAGUAAUCAAUGAUCAAGGAAUAUAACAAAUUAAAAAAAAAAAAACAGUGACUAAAUACACUUAGAAAGGAUUGGUUGGUUGGUUGGUUGGUUUUCUGAUUUUGUUUGUUGUAGUUUGUUACUAAAAGUUGGUACAAAAUGCAGUCAAUGCGUUAGGUAUUCAGCAGUAACUAAUGGUAACUAUUCAGACCAGAUUUUUUCUCUUUUUUUUUUUCCAAGGAUAACAUCAACAGACAAAAAAUAAAGUUAACAAGUAUCAUAAAUUGGUCGGAUUCUGCUUUCAGGAAUGGAAAUAUGGCAGAACUGGCACCAUCCAGUCUUUGCCGGACAUUGGAACGGAUUUCUGUUUGGAGUAGUACUGAAUGAAUAAUGGUAUGGUUUGCAAGUUGCAACCCAGUUGAAGAACUAAAAUGUAACCAACAUUAGAUGGUAACUACAAAGAUGAUAAAAGGGAUUUGUUAGACCUGGAACAAACAAAAGUAGUUAUAAUAAAAACAUUUUACUGUCCAAGUAAAGGGAGACAUAGAAAAAGAAAAAAAAAACAUUUUCAAGUACCAUUUGUAUAAGGAAAAGAAGCUGUAAUAAAAUUAGUUGCACCAAAUCACACAAAACAUUUUUCAGUUUGAAACACUUAAAAAAUUUAACAUAUAAAUGCGUACUGGUGUAUAUAAUGUAUACACGCUCCAGAAUUAGUUAAAUAAAUGGAGAUGUGCGUGCAUGAAUUUAUAGUAGUAAAAUGAAUAGUUUACUAAAACCACAGAAAAAUACAAAUACCAUUGCCUGUCUAAACUUUUGGGAGAUAGCUUAGACAUUUUAAUAUAACAAUAACAAAAAAAAAAACAAAAAAACUGACAACAUUUAGAGUAGGUUCGCAAAAUCUCUUUGUUAUCAAGACUCCAAAGUAAUUUAUAUGCUUUGUUAAUAACUAAUAAGGAAAAAAUGUUAAUGAGAAAAAAAAUGACUUUCAAAAAGUCAAAAUACAUUUUAUCAUCAAGUUAUAUUUCCCGUUAGCAAUUUAAAGCAGGUAUUGCUUAAAUGCUGGCAUUAAUAUUUUAGCCAGAAAGGGCUGUGUUUCCACAGAAUAAGAUAGACACAAAUGUUUAACAAAGGAAACAAUCCAAAAAGUUUUAGUUUCCACUAGUUUAAAAUAAAGACAGUUUUCUGUCAUUAUAAAUAGUCCAAUGAAGUAAUCAAAAAGACAAAAAGAUAAUAAUUAAAAACAUUUUUGUUGAUUUUUUUUUUAGAAAUAUGAAAAACUCUGUGUAAAAAGUGAUAUUAAUGUCUAAACCCAGUAACUUUUUUUUAAUAAAACUAUCAGAGCAGUCCUAACAAUUACAGCAAAUGGAGACAAAACUUAAAAAAAAAAAGAAAUACUGUUUGUAUUCUUUUUAUUGUUUUAUUGAAAGAAAUUAUUUUGAACCAUUUUCUUUUUUUUUUUCUUUAAGAAUUCAACCUAAGAAUAUAACAAACAGUGUCGCACACCAAACUUUAUCAAGCUUAGAGACACCAGAUACAGAUGAUAAAUUCUUGGGGCGAACAUAAGAUUACUGGCAGACACUAGGAUCCAGUAAAAAGAUAUGUAUGUGCUGCACAAAUAGGAAUAUAGAGCAGAUCUCCUAAAACCAAAAGAAAAAAAAAAAAGCUCCAAUCAUUAGGUAACAAGAGGAAGAAAUUCCAACCAUUUUUAAAGAAAAAAAUGAACUCCGGAGAUUGCAUUGCUUUUCAUGAAGGUAAAAAAAAAUUUUUUUUUUUCUUUUUUUUUUUAGAUUUAAACACAACACAAAGUUCUUUCUCUCAGUAAAGAGUAUGAGACAUUGCAUGCCAGUAACUUCAGUUAUGGAGACAUCAAAGCCAUAGAUUGAUAUAACAGGCAAUGAAGCAAAGUACUAAUGAAAAAAAUUUUGUUAAAAAAACCUCAAGCAUUUUGUAGAUACCAGAAGCAGAUUAAUAAAACAACUUUUUUUUUUUUUUUCACAGCCUACAAACUUCUAUCAAAAAGAUGCCCUAAACUUAAAAUGCAAAUAUCUAAAUAGUUUCAGAAUUAAAACUGGUUAAUUACAUAAUUUUAUUUUUGUUCUUCAAUUCUUAGCAUGAUUCAAAUAUUAUUAUAUGAACUAAAACUAAAAUUUUAUAACAUGUGUGUGCAUCUUGUUCAUAACUACAAACCAUGAUUUGAGAAAAUGUGAAAAUUUAUUCAAAUAAGCAUAAUUUUUAUUUGGUUCUGAAGAUGAGAUUAAGUUCUUGGUUUUUUUUUUUUUUUGAUUUUUAAAAAAUUUUAUAACAGCUUAGAUAUUCCAUCUGUAACUAUGAUUAUCCUAAUAACAAUAUAUUUUCUUGGUUUUUACCCGUUCAUGAAAAUGUUUGAGUAAAGAACAUUUCUGGAAAAGAGAGGCACACAUAGGAUAGAUCAAAUGAUAAGAUACGUAAGUGUUCAGCAGGCCAGGGCAAGCACACUAAGUAUCUCCCCAUACAAAACAGAUGAGGGGUGAAACAACAUGAUAAUUUGAAACCAUUUUCCAUCACCCUACACCAUUAUCACAUUAACAAAGAUGGCAGUAGAUAUGAAAAAUAAACCCAAAUAUCAUAGUUUAAGAAGAAAUUUUUUGCUAUUUUUUAAGACUUAACUAGAAUAAAAUAUAGAAAGGUAACCUUAAGCUAUUCAGGAAAUGAUAACAUAGAAGAUCUAACAUUUUUCACAACUGUAAAAUGUACAAAAUUAUAAAGAAAAAUAGCCAUCCAAGUAUUAAAACAUGACUGUCGGAUUUAUUAAGUUCAACAAUUUUGGAAUUCUUUCAUAAUUUUAUUGAGUUUUUUUUUCAAUAAAUGUUUUCCUUGCUAUCUCAAUAGAUAUUAUCAAACACAUAAGAACCAACAGAGACAGAGUUUUGAUAACUGAGUGAAAAAAAAAAGCAAUCUAUUCUUUCACUAUUAAUUCUAAUAAAAUUAUUGCUUUAAUUUUUCUCAAAUAAAAACUGGAUUGUAAUAUUUAAAGAAAUACCUAAAUUGUUAAGGUGACAGCAGUGAUCUUUUAUAAGAUAUAGGAAUGGUAGAUUUCUUUUAAAAUGGUACAUUAUUAAACCAGAUUCGAAAGCAGUUGUGUAAGUAUAUACAUACAUGCACACACAUAUAUACAUACAUAUAUAUAUAUGUGUGUGUGUGUGUGUGUGUGUCUAUGUGUGCAUAAAUGAUAGAAGAGUACAGGUUAUGCCCAAUCAAACAAUGAUUCCUAUGUGUGUUACCUGCUAGAUUUGAUGUUUAUUUUGGAUCAUGGAAUGGUCAAGAUUUUAUAAUUAUUUUCACACCAUGCUUAAUGUUCAAAGUCAAUUCUUUGAUUUAGACCAAGGAAUGGUUGAAGCCAAAUACACUUCUAUGAUGGAAUGAUUGAAAUACAAAUAUUGUAAUGUUUAGGAAACAUUUUACAGACUAAAAAUGUUGUAUUUAUACAAAUGGAAUGUUUUAGGUGUGACUAAAAUGAAACUAAAUUAUUCUAAGGAAUGCCUAAGCAAAUUAAAUUGUAAUUUUGACCUUAGUUUCUAGCAGAUAUUGUUUGUGGGCCUGUAAAGUAAAUGGUUUAAGUCAAAAGCAAGAUUAAAAAGAAAUUAAUUUUUUUUUUGUCUCUUUUAUAAUGUGAAGAUUUUUUUUCUUUUUCAACACUAUUACAAUUUAACAUAUUGGCAGUCAACAAAUAUAUUACCAGUUUUGUUGUAUCACAAUAGAUACAAAAUUUGGGUUAACGACUCACUGGCUCUUUAACAUUAAACCCUCUGUCUGUGUACAGUGCUGCCAUAAAACAGCUGUGGUAAGUCUUUUAAGUCACACCAACUCAAACUAAAAUCAAAAGCUUUUUUUUUUUAUUAUCAUUAUUAUUAUUACACGACUGAACCACUCGACUAUUUCAAACUAAACUCCCGACUACAACUACAAUUAUUAAGACAUCCAACUUUAAAAAAAAGAGGGGGGGGGGGGAAAUGAAGAAAGUAUGAUGAAACAAAUAAUAGGAGAAUUCUUUGAGAAUAGGAUUCAGCAAAACAAAUAGGAAAUUGUGUGAACAGAAUGAGUUAAGGAGAUGAAAGCUGCACAGAAUAAAUAACUGGUUAAAUUCAUCAAUGUGUUCUUGUUUACAAUAAUGAUACCACCAAAAUAGCCCAACAGUCAUUUGAGUGUGCGUAGAGAGAAUAGUUAUUACUUUUUAACAUAUUUCAAGGGCAUAUGUGUAAGUAUAUACAUACAUAUAUAUAUAUACAUAUAGAUAUAUUUAUAUAUAUAUAGAUAUAUAUAUAUACAUAUAGAUAUAUAGGUACAGAUAUAUGUUAAUGUUUGUUUUUGUUUUCAGUUACAAUAAAAACAAUUUGACAAUAAUCUGACAGGUAACUCUAUACUUUUUUAGAGUACAAAUUUAUUGUUCUUAAACAAGAAUACUAUUGACAAUGACUUCACGUUUCAGCCAUUUAAGCCAUCAUCUAACAACAGCUUCACUGCCCCAAACUUUGAAGUCACUGUCAAUAAUAUUCUUGUUUAAGAAUACACAUAUAUAUAUAUUCAUAUAUGUAUAUACAUUUAUGUAUAUAUAUAUAUAUAUAUAUAUAUAUCAAUCAUAUUUAGACCUCGUUAUCUGUAGAUGGCUAAAUUACAUUGGUUUACAAAAUGAUUUGAUUAAUAUUCUUCUUCAUUUAUAUUCAACAAACUUCAAAUUCAUCUUUUAACAACAGAUUUUGAAAAUUUGAUAAUGAAUAAUGAUGUUCAAUGAAAAAAAAAAUAUGUGAUUGAGAGAGAAGAAAAAAAAAGCAUUUCACCCAAUUCCACACAGAAAAGAAAACAACAGGAAAAUUGAAAUAGUUGCUAUCAUCAGGUAACAAUCAUAUGCUCUGGAGAAAAUAGUGAUACAUCAAAACUGGAUUUUUUUUUACAAAGUUCACAAGACCUCAUGACCUCUAUUAUCAGUUUUGAUGAAUUAAGAGGGUAGUUGUGAACUGAAUUUAUCUUUAUAGUAAUGAUGUGGUAUAUCAUGUAUCAAUGAUGUAGAGUGGAACACUAAAGUACCAACAGGUCACCAAAAUUAUAAUUUAAUAUACAAGAACCUAGUCCUUAUUUUCAUUUUAAUCUACUGCAAGCCAGGACUUCAGUAACUAUAUAAUUGUGAAUGGUAAAUUUAGUUACUGUACAAAUAAAUGGGAAACUGAAGUUCCUUUAAUGCAAAUAUAAAUGCUUGUAUUGGCACAAGCCCACAAAUUUCUAAAAGCAAAGUAAAGCCAACCUCAGUAUAUGACUGGUACGUCUUAUAACGACUCUAGAAGUUGGCAUUUUAAUUUGGUUUGCUAAGAGAUGAAAUAUAUGCUAGUAGGUACUUUACUGUUUCUGCCACUCAUAUAUUGGUUUGAAAUGAAUUCAAAUUUUGGCACAAGGCCAGCAAUUUCGAGGGAGGGGUUAGCUGAUUGCAUCAACGCCAGUGUUCAACUGGUACUUAGUUUUUCGACCCUGAAGGGAUAAAAAGCAAAGUCAACCUCAGCAGAAUUUGAACACAACACAUAAAGAUGGACAAAAUGCCGCUAAGCAUUUUAUCCAGUGUGCUAAUAAUGCUGUCAGCUCACCAUCUUCUGCCAUUCUUAUAUUACAAAUAUAUUAAUUGCUCACAAAUCCUACAAUUACAAUGGUUUUUUUUGUAGGACGAUUCAAAUACUGUAUAAUUCUGUUAGUGUGUUUUCUAAAGAAAAUGAAAAUGAAAAAUGACAAGGCAUAGAUAAAAAAUAUAUUCUCCUGGGAAUAAUUAAAGAGAAUAUUGGUUUCAAAUUUUGGCAUAAGGCCAGCAAAUUGAGGGUAUGGGGUAAGUUGAUUACAUCAACCCCAAUGCUCCACUGGUACUUAGUUUAUCGACCUUGAAAGGAUGAAAGGCAAAGUCAACCCCGGUGGCAUUUGAACUUAGAAUGUAAAGAAAGUUCAAUAGAACCUGCAAAGCAGCAUCAAUUUGGUAUUGUUGCUAUAAAGAACAGUGGAAUAUUGGUUAUGGCUUUAGCUGUUAAAUAAUAACUGCUUGAAGAGUGAAAGUUUCACAAGCACGCCAAAGAUUAAAUAAUAGUCCACUACAUGUCACAUGAUUUACUAAACAUUUAUCCAAUUUACAAAUAUUUGUUUUUAAAGCCUAAAUUUCAGCAAGAGAAUCAGAUCAACAAAACUAGUUCCUCAUAGUCACCUAAAUAGCUUAAUGUAGCAGCUAAAUGUUUAUCAACACCCAAUUGUCUUUAUAUAAUACAACCUACAUCAUGGUUCAAAAUACACACAAUCAGCAGAUUCUGAACUAAAAUCUCUUGAUGAAAUACUUCAUUAGGUUGGCUACCUCUAUACCAGAGGGUUUAUUUAAGCAGUGAUGUUUAACAGGGUCCCACUUACAACUACACUAAAUAAAAUUAAAAUUUGAUAAAACACUACAUUUGCCUCUGUCCCAUAAAACUAUUUAUAACAAUGAAGGCAGCAAAAACAGCAAAUGGGAGCACAAUUCAGUGGUAAUUGCCAGCACGGCAACAACAGUAAUUGCUUGAACAGCAAAACAGCAAUUGCCUGACCAGCACAACUGGUAAUAUUCCUAUUUCCUUACAGUGCAAGUCUCAAUUAAACCCACCACCACCACCAUCACCAAAAACAAAGAUUGUCUUGGGUAAAACCAUCAAGUCUGUUAUUUCAAACAGGUUUAAAUAUACAAGUUAAUAGCUAACUUAACUAGAUUUUGACAAUGCAUACCUUUUGGUGUAUUGGUGUAUUCUGUCACUUAGGUUGGCAACCUGGCUUGGCACCAACCAAAUGUAAACAAUACUUUAGUUCAUUCAAUCAUAGAGAGAAUGAAAGAAAAACAAGUAAUUCUCAGGUCACCCAUAACACCAGAAAGUGCCUAACAUAACCUUGAGAAGCAAAUUUGCUAAGCUGUCACUAAUGUUAGGAUGCUUCAAUAAAACUGAGCCACACCAAGCAUUCAUUAUAUUUACUGUAACUAAUGUAUACAUUAUGAUUUUCCCAUGUUAUUUAUUGACUAGAUUACAAAACAUAAAUGAAAUAAUCAUUGAAAAUCCCUAUGAUAUUAUCAUUGUGGAUUCCUCUGUGAAUAAUAUACUCCAAGCCAGCUUGGAAUAUAAACCACGGUGACUUAGGCGUAAGGUCUCUUGCUUAUUUUUCCCUCUUCACUUUACAAACAAACUCUGUUGGCUGGGUUGGAAGAACUCUCGUCCUCUUUCUCAGUCAAUAUUCUCUCAUUACCAGGUUUGGAGAUUACAUUGGUCACCUGUAGUGGUGAGCAUAGCAUCAAGUCUUAAGAUAUGAAGAUAAUGAGAAUGGGAAUGAUAUACCUAGCAAGAAACCGGUGGAAAUUUGAUAGAUAUGUGACCAGCUUGAAUGAAGUCACUUGUAACCGAAGGGUGUUUAUUCAGCUGUCUAGUUUGGAGCUUUAACUAUUUCCCAUCAAGGAACUCAGUUAUCUUUAGAACAGCUUCAUAUUACUAUUGUAUCAUUCACUGGAGCUCACAUGUCAACUAACAAAUGGAUGCCGGGGGAAAAGGUGUCUUCAUGGCCUGUCUAGUAAGUAUAACAUGGUACAUCAUGCCAGACAUACUGAGAUCAAUGCAAUACUUGACUAAGCCAUUCAAAAGUGCAGCAUUCUAAGUAUAUUGGAGUCUGUAUGGCUGCAUCAGUCAUAUCAGAAAAGACCAGACGAUUUAACUAGCAUGCAUGAAAAGACUGGAAUCUUGUAUGAGAUGCCACUGUGGAGUGUGGAGGACAAAUUCAUUAUUCCACAUUGAUUUAUGCAUGUAGUACUGCAAUACAUACAGGAGAAUGCAACCCAAAGCAUUCAAGAGCAUCUGUACAUACGGUACAACCAUGCAACACUUGAUGAAAUCUGCAAAUGACUUGUUGAAACAAAUGUCAUUUGGGAACCUUUAAUCUGUCGCCAACAACUUUCAAUAAUUAUAAUACAAGGGAAUGCAACAAAUAUGAGCUGUAUACAGGCCACAUAAAUGUUUGUAAGUCAGAGUGAAGAUUGCUUCUCUGUCUAGAAGGAAUAAUAGUCCUCAUUUUGUACAAAUAGAUACCCAUCCUAUCAGAAUAAUUUCGAUAAUUUCAACACUGUAUGAGUGCAUGUGUGUGUGUGUAUGCAGAUGCAGAGAAAUUUAGUGACGACAUAGUUGGAAUGGUAAAUUUGAAAUCCUUGACAGUAUAGAUUAGAUAAAGAUUUUUAAAAAAUACCAUAGUAAAAGCAAGUGUGAUAAAAAAAGAAUUAAAAAACUUUUUUAAGCAGACUUAAACUAUUGAAGCUUUGACCAUGUUGGGGUACCAUCAGUUUCCCUCUGAAGUGUAAUUCAUUUAAAACCUGAACAUAUAUAAUCCACCCAGGAGCAUAGAAGCAUUACACUUAUUCAACAUGUUCUGUAACAAAAAAAUAAAGAAAACACUGCAAUUAUGCAACAUAGCCAUUAGCAUAAAAAAAAAAGAAUCAUUGCUCUUGAGUUGAAAACCAAUAAAAAUCAUAAUUAAAAUGAAGUACCAGAGAUAUGAAGAAUUCAGGUGUUAUAAGAUUAAUGACAUGUUCUUAACUUUAAGAUGCCU
RNAcentral lists this long non-coding RNA (9179 nucleotides) under Octopus vulgaris (common octopus). Lineage: Eukaryota; Metazoa; Mollusca; Cephalopoda; Octopoda; Octopodidae. The record is from RNAcentral.